CCAGGAGAUUUAGCAGUUGAUAUAAUGGAUAAUUUAUGGUAUACCUCUUCUUCUUUAAUGAUAAACUCUGGUGAAAUGUCAUAAUGGCUGUUUUCUGGUAAAAUGUCGAUAUGAAAACGAUUUAAAGGAGGGAUUUUUUUGGUAACUGAAACAAAAGCGUCAUUAAUAUUCUCGGCCAGGGCUUUUCCUGACAUCUGGGUCUGCAUAUAUAUUAAAGAUACCGUAUAAUUUUCAGUGUUGGAUGAAUUAUUU
Non-coding RNA from Paramuricea clavata, 252 nucleotides. The record is from the annotation of a GenBank genome assembly. NCBI's taxonomy places the organism in Eukaryota, Metazoa, Cnidaria, Anthozoa, Malacalcyonacea, Plexauridae.